AACCGGAUUAGAUACCCUGGUAGUCCACGCCCUAAACGAUGUCUACUAGUUGUCGGGUCUUAAUAGACUUGGUAACGCAGCUAACGCGUGAAGUAGACCGCCUGGGGAGUACGGUCGCAAGAUUAAAACUCAAAGGAAUUGACGGGGACCCGCACAAGCGGUGGAUGAUGUGGAUUAAUUCGAUGCAACGCGAAAAACCUUACCUACCCUUGACAUGGCUGGAAUCCUUGAGAGAUCAGGGAGUGCUCGAAAGAGAACCAGUACACAGGUGCUGCAUGGCUGUCGUCAGCUCGUGUCGUGAGAUGUUGGGUUAAGUCCCGCAACGAGCGCAACCCUUGUCAUUAGUUGCUACGAAAGGGCACUCUAAUGAGACUGCCGGUGACAAACCGGAGGAAGGUGGGGAUGACGUCAAGUCCUCAUGGCCCUUAUGGGUAGGGCUUCACACGUCAUACAAUGGUACAUACAGAGCGCCGCCAACCCGCGAGGGGGAGCUAAUCGCAGAAAGUGUAUCGUAGUCCGGAUUGUAGUCUGCAACUCGACUGCAUGAAGUUGGAAUCGCUAG
RNAcentral lists this ribosomal RNA (562 nucleotides) under uncultured Duganella sp. Its description in RNAcentral is "bacterial SSU rRNA". It matches the Rfam family "Bacterial small subunit ribosomal RNA", at positions 771 to 1338 of the family's 1533-position model. The record is from RNAcentral. Lineage: Bacteria; Pseudomonadati; Pseudomonadota; Betaproteobacteria; Burkholderiales; Oxalobacteraceae.